AUGAUGUUCAGCUGGCACAAGACAUUCACCGUUGGAGCUCUGUGGAGAAGAGGCAAGAAGAGCCCUCCCUCUGAGGACAAAGUCGUGCUGACUCACAUGAAGAUGCUAAGCUAUGCAGGGAGUCAGGAUCUGGAGCCUCCUGCAGCUUCAGAUUGUGCAGAAGAAUCCAGGCUUCCCCAAGUCAACAUCCAGGGAAACCUUGAUGUAACAGACACUCCAGCAAAUUCAGAUUACACAGCUACCCUGUCUGAUCUCAGCACCUUGGAGACCCAGUGCCGGCUUCACAGAUUCUCCAAAUUUGAAUCUGAGGACUCUGGGGUUGAGUUGCCAAGUGGGGCUAAUUCUCCAUCCACACCAAAGGGCUCUGAGAAGAGUUUUGUGCUUCACAGUAGAGACUCUUCUUGUGACUCUGGAGUGCUCAGUGCCUCUUCCUCUCCAGAAAUUGACCACAUUAUAAUGAGAGCAUGUCAAGACCCUGGAGAAGCUAAUCCCAACAGGAAUGCUCCAGAGAGCAAAAAUCAAGUGGAGCAGUACAGCCAGGUGAUAGACUCUAUGCAGAUUCCUGCAUCUUCCUUGGAAGAUUUCAGCAAUUGUCAGAAGGGAGAAAGUCCUGAUCAACUUUUUGGCCAAAGCAAAGGGCAGUCUUUAGAAGAGGAACCCAGCAAAGAGACAGACCUCCCCAUUCAUGAUACUCCUCCAACUGUGCCUCCCAUGGAAGAGCAAAAGACUACCACUAGCCAUUACAAAGAGACCUUUGGCAGCAUGCAGGAUCUUCAAAUUCAUGGAAAUCAACUUAAGAAAUAUCCCACGAGUGACAGUCUGGACGAGUACAUGGAUGAGUGCUGUCGAUUAAGUGAGACCCAUGUGCAUUAA
Molecule: long non-coding RNA, 873 nt
Filed under: Crocodylus porosus (Australian saltwater crocodile)
Lineage: Eukaryota; Metazoa; Chordata; Crocodylia; Crocodylidae
Description: lncRNA (ENSCPRG00005002721.1)
Source: RNAcentral